GAGAAGUGAAAGGUUUCCGUAGGUGACCUGCGGAAGGAUCAUUGUCGAGGCCCGAACGGACGAUCGCGAACCCGUAGAGCGCCCGUGGGGAGCGGUAAGGGGGCGACACCCGUCGUCGCCUCCGCCUCCGUGGGUGCCCCUGCCGCCGUCGCCCUGCACGUCGUGCAGGACGAGCGGCGGGAACAUUUUCCGGCGCGGUGCGCGCCAAGGAGCAGCCUCGUUUGGGUAGCGUUGACGGCGCGCGACGAGCGUAGCAUCGCACCGCGCGACGCGACCUGGUACGUCCAACCUGCACGACUCCCGGCAACGGAUAUCUUGGCUCUCGCAUCGAUGAAGAGCGUAGCGAAAUGCGAUACUUGGUGUGAAUUGCAGAAUCCCGUGAACCAUCGAGUCUUUGAACGCAAGUUGCGCCCGAGGCUACCUGGCCAAGGGCACGCCUGCCUGGGCGUCACGCCUACCGACGCUCCGUGCCUCCUGCCCCUCACCCCGCCCGUGCGAUUCGGCGGCAGGCACCGAUGCGGAGAUUGGCCCCCCACGCGUCGUUGCGUGGUGGGUCUAAGUGCGGGCCGUCGGUCGGGCUGGACGCGGCGAGCGGUGGAUUGACACGCAUGCCGCCGCCGAAGUGACUCGGCUCGUCGAUGCACCGGAGGAACCCACGACGACGGGCGCCACGUUGAGCGUCCCUCGGAACAUGACCCCAGGUCAGGCGGGGGCACCCGCUGA
RNAcentral lists this ribosomal RNA (723 nucleotides) under Pancratium tortuosum. Its description in RNAcentral is "eukaryotic LSU rRNA". The stretch from base 296 to 451 matches the Rfam family "5.8S ribosomal RNA". The record is from RNAcentral. Lineage: Eukaryota; Viridiplantae; Streptophyta; Magnoliopsida; Asparagales; Amaryllidaceae.